Molecule: ribosomal RNA, 253 nt
Filed under: uncultured prokaryote
Description: partial 16S ribosomal RNA
Rfam family: Bacterial small subunit ribosomal RNA
Source: RNAcentral
UACGAGUGCCUCGAGCGUUAUCCGGAAUCAUUGGGCGUAAAGGGUGCGUAGGCGGCGAUGUUAGUCUCGCGUUAAAUCUUUCGGCUCAACCGAGAGUCUGCGUGGGAAACGGCAUUGCUUGAGGACGGAAGAGGUCUCUGGAACUCAUGGUGUAGCGGUGAAAUGCGUUGAUAUCAUGGGGAACACCAAAAGCGAAGGCAAGAGACUGGUCCGCUCCUGACGCUGAAGCACGAAAGCGUGGGUCGCGAAUGGG